UGAUAACCUAGCGGUCUAAUAAACAAGGGGAAACAAUCAGUUGUUGAUUCCUACAUCAUUAUGACGGUCAAAGUGCAUGUGGAAUAUUGUGGUGGAUGAGGUUAUGGACCUCGCUUCCAAGAACUUCGUCAACAGAUUCUGGCUGAGGUUCCGGAUGCUGAGGUCACAGGGACUGUGGGAAGAAGAACUUCCUUUGAAGUAACUGUUGGGGAUACACUUGUGUUUUCUAAACUGAAGUUGAAUGCAUUCCCAGUUGCAAGUGAUGUUAUUGCUUGCAUCAGGGAGGUUCAAAAGGGACAGAACCCCUCCAUCAUUGAGACUGGCGAGUCAGCUGGUUGUACCAUUCUGUAGUGUUAUGAAAACAUCAGCAUUGACAUUUCUUUGAAAGUUCUCGUGUUGUUACAUAUUUUAUAGCAGCAUUGAUGAAAGUUGAGGGAAAAGGUCAGAGAUCAUCCCUCUCUCUGGAAGGUUUUGCUGUUCAAAUUUGUAUCAACAUGUUUGCUUUCUGAAAUGCAUAGACUCAAUUAUUAAUUUGUAUCUUUGUAUGAAUGGGUAUUUAUAAAUGCUUAUUUUUAUUUUAGUGUAUGUGAUGUGUUUUAAAAUUAUGUAAGAGAGAACUUUACAAACCUGUACAUUACAUUCAUUGAACACCUGCAUUUUUCUUUGUAAUGAGUGAUUGCUUGAAAUGUCCUUUGUUGUUACGACUUGUAGUUUCUUUCGUUAAGUUCAGCUUUAAGCCUACAGUUUAGAUACUGUAACAUCAAUUAUACUACACAAUUUUCAUGUAUGCAUAAAAAAUGAAGAUACUUUUCA
Saccostrea echinata is the source of this 813-nucleotide long non-coding RNA. RefSeq lists it as uncharacterized. The transcript is spliced from 4 exons. The record is from RefSeq and is a predicted model, not a curated record. Lineage: Eukaryota; Metazoa; Mollusca; Bivalvia; Ostreida; Ostreidae.